This 907-nucleotide ribosomal RNA is filed under the name Coolia monotis. RNAcentral's name for it is "partial large subunit ribosomal RNA". It matches the Rfam family "Eukaryotic large subunit ribosomal RNA", at positions 22 to 890 of the family's 3401-position model. Lineage: Eukaryota; Dinophyceae; Peridiniales; Ostreopsidaceae. The record is from RNAcentral.
UACCCGCUGAAAAUUAAGCAUAUAAGUAAGUGGUGGAAGAAAACAUAAACAUGAUUCUUUAGUAAUGGCGAAUGAACAAAGACAUAGUCAUUUUGAAAAUUGUGGUCCGUGAUCAUGAAUUGUAAUAUUCAAAAUGCAUUGCUAACAAAAUUGCAUAUGUUAGUUUAUUGGAAAGAACAUUACAAAGGGUGAAAAUCCCAUGUGUCAUGUGUAUGUUUUGUGUACAGUGUGCAUUUCAUGAUUCACAUUCAUUGACAAUUGAAUGUAAAGCGAAUGGUAAACUUCAUUUAAACAUAAAUAUGUUGUUGGAAACUUAUAUCGAACAAAUACCAUGAGGGAAAUGUGAAAAGGAUUUUGAAAAGAAAAUUAAAAGAGCUUACAAUUGCUGGAUUGAUAAGCAAACAAAACACACAUGUGUAUGUGCAAGAUUGUUGUCAUGUUGUGCAAUUCAUGCAAACUAACAUUGCUUUGGUUUUUGUGUAAUUUUGUCAGCUUUGGAAUUGAGAAUGAUUUUUUUGAGUGUGAAUGGAUUGUUGUUUGUUAACAAAGGAAUGCACUUUCAAAAUCAUUGUUUGAUUUGUCAAUCAAGUUUGUGGCGUGUGUUGUGUGUCAAGUUUAUUUACAUAAUUCACAAAACACAUGAAGUUUGAGCUAUUAAGGCAAUUCUUGUUUUGUUUGACCCGUCUUGAAACACGGACCAAGGAGUUUAAUUUAUGUGCAAGUUCAUGAAAUUUACAUUUGCACAGCAAUGAAAGUGUUAGGUUGGGAUACUUGCACCAACAACUGAUAAGUUGUGAGACAUAACAUUGAGUUUGAGCAUGUCGAUUAAAACCCGAAAGAUGGUGAACUAUGCCUGAACAGAAUGAAGUCAGAGGAAACUCUGAUGGAAGUUCGUAUCGAUACUGAC